GAUGAACGCUGGCGGCGUGCUUAACACAUGCAAGUCGAACGGAAAGGCCCAAGCUUGCUUGGGUACUCGAGUGGCGAACGGGUGAGUAACACGUGGGUGAUCUGCCCUGCACUUCGGGAUAAGCCUGGGAAACUGGGUCUAAUACCGGAUAGGACCACAUUUUGGAUGGUGUGGUGGAAAGUUUUUCGGUGUGGGAUGAGCUCGCGGCCUAUCAGCUUGUUGGUGGGGUAAUGGCCUACCAAGGCGUCGACGGGUAGCCGGCCUGAGAGGGUGUACGGCCACAUUGGGACUGAGCUACGGCCCAGACUCCUACGGGAGGCAGCAGUGGGGAAUAUUGCACAAUGGGCGCAAGCCUGAUGCAGCGACGCCGCGUGGGGGAUGACGGCCUUCGGGUUGUAAACUCCUUUCGCUAGGGACGAAGCGUUUUUGUGACGGUACCUGGAGAAGAAGCACCGGCUAACUACGUG
RNAcentral lists this ribosomal RNA (467 nucleotides) under uncultured bacterium. RNAcentral's name for it is "partial 16S ribosomal RNA". It matches the Rfam family "Bacterial small subunit ribosomal RNA", at positions 28 to 507 of the family's 1533-position model. The record is from RNAcentral.